This is a long non-coding RNA of Oreochromis niloticus (Nile tilapia), 2631 nucleotides long. RefSeq lists it as uncharacterized. The transcript has 3 exons. The record is from RefSeq and is a predicted model, not a curated record. NCBI's taxonomy places the organism in Eukaryota, Metazoa, Chordata, Actinopteri, Cichliformes, Cichlidae.
UAAUGAUUAAAAGCCGCAGCUGCGUGGUUUGAAUGUUAAUUGGGACGGGGACCAACAGAGGGACACAGAGUGCCAGUGGAAACAUCUCACAGGGCUCACCCUCGCUGUUGCUUGCAGACUAUUCCAAUUACACGUGCAGGCAAACUCUACGCAAUGACAUUUUCUGGAUUUUAAUGAAGACAAAAUGGUGUCUUUGUUGUGGAGGGGAUCUUGAGGGAGCUGCAAGACCUUACAGAGAAUAAAGUAGGUCAGCUGGCUGACAUAGGGUGCCUGUGGACAUGUUCUUUAUGCUGUUACUGCUUUGCACACAGCAGCCUUGCACAGAAAGGAAGAAGCCAUAGUUAACAUUAGUAACAGCUUGUCAUUAGAGGAAAAUAGCCUGAAGGUAUUUAUUUGAUCAUCUGAGUGGUUCUUGUCCGUCACGUUGUGGAGUUCGACAGAUACUCAGACAAUGCACUGAAUGCCUGAAACUGUAGUGCGUGAUUUGGUACCAUAGUCUGUCUGCUGGUGUGCUUCUCACCGAAAGACAGCACUAUGCAUAAAAUGCUCAUAAUUUCAGUCUCAUUUUUUCAUUCAUCAUUCUUAAGUCUGCAGAACAUUAGUUUUCUGGCUUUUUAUUUUUAAUAAAAAUGGAUCCGUCAAUCAAUUCAUCAUGACUGGGUCUACACAUUUAGAGGAUUUUUAGCUUUUUUUUAGGCUUAUGAUGGCUAUAUUUAUAACAGCCAAAUGACAGUACAAUGUAAUGGAAUAAAUGAUUAAUAGAAACAACAAACUUUGCUAUAAGUAGAUGCUAGAUGUUUAUUAUUAUAUACUGCGUGUCGAGUAAGUUAAAGACACCUGAUUCUACUGUAAAAUUAUCACCUGUGAGUGGAAAAAAAUGACGAAGAUUCUGAAACGAGACGGAUUGACGGCGAGAUUUAAUGACAGGAAGUCUUGCCUACCGCUCAAGCUUCGUCUUUAUUGAUUUGUUGUCGAGAAUAUUAUAAAAGAAUCUGCAAAAUCCAAGUGUUCCUGUUGACUGCAGCCCAUGAGUGACAGACAAUUAAAACAGGAAUGGGAUCCUUGGAGUGACACCAGAUGAAGGCUCUGUGUGCCAGGGAAAGCAGUCUCCGGAGUUAAUAACAGCCUCUAUCGGAGACUGUUAAAAGAAACAGGCAAAUUUUUCAGCUGCUGAAAUCUCAGUUUAGCGGGAGCAGGAAAUGACCGACCUCCCGUGGCUAACCCUGUGGGACCCCGCUGACCACAGCACUCAGCGCUAAACCAGCAUUACAAAGACGUCAUUACAAAUAACAUAUGUGUGACUGAUGGACACCAACUGCCUUUUAGUCAAAAGAAACAUCAACAUGGACAACAAAGAGCAUCUUUGGAGGAACAUUGCAUUCAUGUGACGGUUGCAGAGGCCCUUUGGGACAGGCUGAAAAAGCUCUUAAAUGAAUGGGAUGAAUGGGAGUGAUCGACUGCUGUCAGACAAAGGAGGAUAGACUGGCCGUGUCAUCCAGUGCUGUGUCAAUUUAUGGAUUUGCUGUUAAUUGAAAAGCUUGGCUUUUUCUGUCAUAGUCAGAUUUACGAAAUGCUGCUUUGAACUGUAUUAAUAUUUAUAUCGCUGGCAGUUUUAUGCAUUGCAGAGCAAAUGUAGAAUUUCUGAGAAACUGCAAUAUGGAGUCUAGACUUGCAAUGAGAGCAUUUUUUUUUAUUUUUAGAGGGCGCUCUUUAAGAUUUAGGAGGCCAUCACAAAUCUUUUUCAUCAUGAGUAGAUAUUCACUAUCGCAGUGCCAGCAGAGCGAGUGGGGAUUUUGAACAGUUUGAAAGGGCUUUUAUUUUGUUGGUAAUGUUUAUUAGCUGGUAUUUGAUGAAAUAUAUUAUUUGGCCCAUUUCCACUUAAAAAGAAAUAGCUGAAUUAGCUGUAUUACCUUCCUACUAUGAAAUAAAACUGUUUAGAUUAUCAUAUAUUGAUGAAUUGAAACAACAGCGCUUAACUUAUUCACAUGUGAGCUUUUUGCGAGUGUUCCGGCAAAUACACGAUGCUAUUAUAAAAAUGUAUAUUUUGUUUCAGUGCAGUGUCCUGGCCUCAAUCAAUGCGGUUCUUUUUUUUCUGGAAUCACUCAGCGUAUUGGAAAUGUCAAAUCCAUCUUAGUGGCCUCUGUAAUGAGUAGAGGGGCGCUGACUUAAAGUCAUUCAUUUUUUUUAUUGACCAUUGGAUUCCAUAAGGAAAAUCACACAGCGAGGUCUCAGUCACAUGUUAAUGAAAACACGGUGGACCUUGAAUAUAUUGCUAGAGGACCUUCCAGAGUCGCAGCCAUAGAGCAUAUUUGGACAUGGCUGAGCUAAAUCAAAUCAACAGCGAUGUCAUACACCGGCCGUAGAAAGUUGGUUUUGCACAGAAAUAAUUUGAAUGUGUCCCCAUGGUGAUUUUCCUCUUGAAUUCCUGCUCUGGCGUAACCGUUUUGCUCUUGCUGAACAUCUUCUGGGAGCUAAAACUCCAUUCCUUCAUGUUAUGUAUAAGUCAGCCAGCUAAAAUGUUAAAUAUGAGAAAAUUGAGUACAGUUGAGUUCUACUGCAAAAUCUGUGUUAUCUUUUCUUGGGAAUCUGUGUAGAAAUUGAAAUAAGUUUUUAUUACCUGGUGAAAACAGG